This 264-nucleotide ribosomal RNA is filed under the name uncultured bacterium. RNAcentral describes it as "partial 16S ribosomal RNA". It matches the Rfam family "Bacterial small subunit ribosomal RNA", at positions 793 to 1055 of the family's 1533-position model. The record is from RNAcentral.
GUCCACGCUGUAAACGAUGGAUGCUAGCCGUCAGCAAGCAUGCUUGUUGGUGGCGCAGCUAACGCAUUAAGCAUCCCGCCUGGGGAGUACGGCCGCAAGGUUAAAACUCAAAGGAAUUGACGGGGGCCCGCACAAGCGGUUGAGCAUGUGGUUUAAUUCGACGCAACGCGAAGAACCUUACCAGCCCUUGACAUGGCCGGACGGUUUCCAGAGAUGGAUUCCUCCUAGCAAUAGGUCGGCACACAGGUGCUGCAUGGCUGUCGU